RNAcentral lists this long non-coding RNA (669 nucleotides) under Bos taurus (domestic cattle). RNAcentral's name for it is "long non-coding RNA NONBTAT024200". The record is from RNAcentral. Lineage: Eukaryota; Metazoa; Chordata; Mammalia; Artiodactyla; Bovidae.
CAAUUAUGAUUUUCAGGUAUUUAAAAAGUACAUAACCAUCCAGUUUCUGGAGGCAGCAAAGGUCAAUAAAAUACUCUGCUGACAGCAAUAGGUGUCUCUCCCCACCUUAUUCCUUCUAACCAUAUACACAGCACUGCAUAUCUUGUAAUAAAAAAAUUCAACUAGAUUAUGUGUUUAGAUUUUUAGAUUUAGUGCACUCUACUUCUUGGGUGGGAAAAUAACUCCAUAUGCAAAGGAACCAAAAUGAUGUUCAUUUUUCAGGAAUACUGGUUAUUUGGGGAAACGGUGGAAUAACAGGGGAUGAUGGUUAGGUCUUCCAGAGGGUGCUCCCUAACAGAUAAAGAGUGUGUUCCUGUGGGCCCAGCUGGGCAGGAGCCACUGAAGGAAAUCUGUCGCCAUGGCUUCAGGCUUCAAUUCUUGAAAGUUUCUGUUUUUUAAGUGAUGCCUGAGUGGUCUGUCUGCCCAUAGCUGUACUAUAGAUUUCAUAGGAUUUUUUAUUUACUUUCUCGUUCUUCCCUAAAUUUGGAAUUUACGAGGAAACUGCCAAGAGGAAAUUAAAGUUUUAAUCCACCGUUAACUUUUUCCUCUUAAGUUUGGCACUAUAAUUUGUAACAACAAUCCAAGAUAUCUAACUAGUAAUGUCUGUCUCCUCAUAAACUUUCAUUCUGC